UUGAACUUUCUAAGGAAUAG
Molecule: microRNA, 20 nt
Filed under: Ciona intestinalis (vase tunicate)
Lineage: Eukaryota; Metazoa; Chordata; Ascidiacea; Phlebobranchia; Cionidae
Description: cin-miR-1502a-5p
Source: miRBase by way of RNAcentral